RNAcentral lists this ribosomal RNA (398 nucleotides) under uncultured bacterium. RNAcentral describes it as "bacterial SSU rRNA". It matches the Rfam family "Bacterial small subunit ribosomal RNA", at positions 495 to 891 of the family's 1533-position model. The record is from RNAcentral.
CUCGCGUGUCGUGCCAGCAGCCGCGGUAAUACGUAUGUCCCGAGCGUUAUCCGGAUUUAUUGGGCGUAAAGCGAGCGCAGACGGUUUAUUAAGUCUGAUGUGAAAGCCCGGAGCUCAACUCCGGAAUGGCAUUGGAAACUGGUUAACUUGAGUGCAGUAGAGGUAAGUGGAACUCCAUGUGUAGCGGUGGAAUGCGUAGAUAUAUGGAAGAACACCAGUGGCGAAGGCGGCUUACUGGACUGCAACUGACGUUGAGGCUCGAAAGUGUGGGUAGCAAACAGGAUUAGAUACCCUGGUAGUCCACACCGUAAACGAUGAACACUAGGUGUUAGGAGGUUUCCGCCUCUUAGUGCCGAAGCUAACGCAUUAAGUGUUCCGCCUGGGGAGUACGACCGCAA